RNAcentral lists this ribosomal RNA (165 nucleotides) under Bromus japonicus (Japanese brome). RNAcentral describes it as "5.8S ribosomal RNA". It matches the Rfam family "5.8S ribosomal RNA". Rfam says of the family: 5.8S ribosomal RNA (5.8S rRNA) is a component of the large subunit of the eukaryotic ribosome. It is transcribed by RNA polymerase I as part of the 45S precursor that also contains 18S and 28S rRNA. Functionally, it is thought that 5.8S rRNA may be involved in ribosome translocation. Lineage: Eukaryota; Viridiplantae; Streptophyta; Magnoliopsida; Poales; Poaceae. The record is from RNAcentral.
CCACACGACUCUCGGCAACGGAUAUCUCGGCUCUUGCAUCGAUGAAGAACGUAGCGAAAUGCGAUACCUGGUGUGAAUUGCAGAAUCCCGUGAACCAUCGAGUCUUUGAACGCAAGUUGCGCCCGAGRCCACUCGGUCGAGGGCACGCCUGCUUGGGCGUCACGC